UGGUACUUGAUAUAUAGAGCUUCAAGCAACAAGAGAAAAUUAGGUGUGCGAGAAUAAAUAGUGUGAAGAAUUCGAGAGUUGUCAAUUAUUAAGUUGGAAAUAAAAGUGGAAACGUUAUUGUCAGCGUCAGUUGGGUUAUUAAGUUUGUCAAAAGCAAAGUGUAGGUUUACAAUGUAUUGCACACGUUCACAGUUCUGAAAAUGCUGUCCAAUAGCACUUUUGGUCGGACUGGUAUGCUCAACGAGUCGCGAAAUGCACCUCUCGUGGUUCUGCCGUGGUAUGCUGCACCUGUCGUGGUUCUGAUUGAGACUUCCGUUAUGUCAUCAUGCCUUGCCAACUUGUAUAUAAGACCAUGUAUAUAUUGUAACUGUAGUUAGUCUGAUG
Non-coding RNA from Paramuricea clavata, 384 nucleotides. The record is from the annotation of a GenBank genome assembly. Lineage: Eukaryota; Metazoa; Cnidaria; Anthozoa; Malacalcyonacea; Plexauridae.